RNAcentral lists this ribosomal RNA (1418 nucleotides) under Ophiura luetkenii. RNAcentral's name for it is "large subunit ribosomal RNA". The stretch from base 986 to 1328 matches the Rfam family "Bacterial large subunit ribosomal RNA", at positions 2074 to 2646 of the family's 2925-position model. Lineage: Eukaryota; Metazoa; Echinodermata; Ophiuroidea; Amphilepidida; Ophiuridae. The record is from RNAcentral.
UGUCUAAAAUGUCAUUUUCACUUAAAAAAUAGGAUAAAUUGUCUCUUAAAAUUUCUUGACAGAGAAAAAUAAUAAAAUAUUAAUUUAUAAAUACUAUAAUAAGUAAAGUUUAUUGAACAAAAAAAUUAUACCUAUAGUUGUCACUGUGAAGGAAUUUGAAUUAAAGUAAAUAAAAGUUUUAAAAAGUAAGAUCUUUUUCUGUACCUUUUGUAUUAUGGAGAGCUAAAAUUCUAAAGUAUUUUCUUUGUUAACGAAAUAAUACGAGUUACUUAUUGCUUUAUAAUUGAUAAAUGCCCUAACUGUAGAAAAAGUAAGGUUAGAGAAAUAAGCGGGAGUGAAAUGCUAAUCGUGUAUUAUAUAGCUUUUUCCCGGAGAAGUUAGUGUAAGCUAAAAUAAAAAUAAGUUUUUGGAUAGUAUAUUGGCUGACCAAUAUAUUACUAGAGGAAAUAACCUUUUAAUUAAGGAAGGGCAAUAACAGCAUUAGGAAAAUUUAAGAAGUAGGAUUCAAGCAUUCUUCUAUAAAGAAAGCGUUUGAGCCCCUUAAUAGAUUCCUACAAAAGAAAUUAUUGAAAAAAUACCCGCUCUUGUUAAUAAUUAUCCGGGCGAUAAAAUUAUUUAUUCGAUAAUGGCUCUAUGAGUAAAAUAAUGUUUAUUUUAAGAUAUAAAAAAGGCUAUAAAAUAAAAUUUUUAGCCUAAAAAAAAUAUUCUUAUUUUAGAAAACAAAAAUCUAAAAAUAUAAAGAAAGGAACUCGGCAAAAGCUUUUCUCGCCUGUUUACCUAAAACAUCGCCCCUGGCUCUUAGAUCAAGGGUCCUGCCGCCCGGUGAUCUUGCGAGAUUAAACGGCUGCGGUACUCUGACCGUGCAAAGGUAGCAUAAUCAUUUGCCUGUUAAUUCCAGGCUGGAAUCAACGGCUAGACGAAGAAAAUACUGUCUCUCUUUAUAAGAUUUGAAUUUAGUUUUCUGGUGAAGAAACCAGAAUAAAGAAGUGGGACGAGAAGACCCUAUUGAGCUUUAAUCUAAAAAUAUUAACCAAAAUAGAAAAAGGUUUUAGUUGGGGCAACUGAUUUUUUAAUAAGACAAAAUCUUAAUAAAUGAAUUAAAUCUAAAUAUAGACCCACAAUCUUUUGUGGUAACAAGAAAAAGUUACCAUAGGGAUAACAGCGUAAUUUUCUUUGAGAGUACAUAUUGACAAGAAAGUUUGCGACCUCGAUGUUGGAUCAAGAUAUCCUGAAGGUGCAGCCGCUUUCAAGGGUGGGUUUGUUCAACCCCUAAAAUCUUACGCGAUCUGAGUUCAGUCCGUCGUGAGACAGGACAGUUUCUAUCUACUAUACUUUUCUUUUUGUACGAAAGGACUCUUGAGAAAUAAGAAUGAAUUAAAGUUCCCUUAUAAAUGAAAUAUUAGAAUUAAUAAAAUAAG